AUAGCGGAACCCGAAAAGCUGAUAGAGUAGGGA
The submitters of this non-coding RNA (33 nucleotides) gave its source as unclassified sequences. The record is from Rfam.